Molecule: transfer RNA, 76 nt
Filed under: Variovorax sp. WS11
Lineage: Bacteria; Pseudomonadati; Pseudomonadota; Betaproteobacteria; Burkholderiales; Comamonadaceae
Description: tRNA-Met
Rfam family: tRNA
About the family: Transfer RNA (tRNA) molecules are approximately 80 nucleotides in length.
Source: RNAcentral
AGCAGGGUAGAGAAGUCGGUAUCUCGUCGGGCUCAUAACCCGAAGGUCGCCAGUUCGAGCCUGGCCCUUGCUACCA